CGGGUGAGUAAUGUAUGGGGAUCUGCCUGAUGGCGGGGGAUAACUACUGGAAACGGUAGCUAAUACCGCAUAAUGUCUGCGGACCAAAGCGGGGGGGACCGUCCGGGCCUCGCGCCAUCAGAUGAACCCAUAUGGGAUUAGCUUGUAGGUAAGGUAACGGCUUACCUAGGCGACGAUCCCUAGCUGGUCUGAGAGGAUGACCAGCCACACUGGAACUGAGACACGGUCCAG
RNAcentral lists this ribosomal RNA (231 nucleotides) under uncultured bacterium. Its description in RNAcentral is "partial 16S ribosomal RNA". It matches the Rfam family "Bacterial small subunit ribosomal RNA", at positions 103 to 334 of the family's 1533-position model. The record is from RNAcentral.